UACCGCAUACGCCCUAAGGGGGAAAGCAGGGGAUCUUCGGACCUUGCGUUAAUGGAGCGGCUGAUAUCUGAUUAGCUAGUUGGUGGGGUAAAGGCCCACCAAGGCGACGAUCAGUAGCUGGUCUGAGAGGACGACCAGCCACACUGGAACUGAGACACGGUCCAGACUCCUACGGGAGGCAGCAGUGGGGAAUUUUGGACAAUGGGCGCAAGCCUGAUCCAGCCAUUCCGCGUGAGUGAAGAAGGCCUUCGGGUUGUAAAGCUCUUUCGCAAGGGAAGAAACGUUACUCGUGAAUAACGGGUGAUAAUGACGGUACCUUGAUAAGAAGCACCGGCUAACUACGUGCCAGCAGCCGCGGUAAUACGUAGGGUGCGAGCGUUAAUCGGAAUUACUGGGCGUAAAGCGUGCGCAGGCGGUUUUGUAAGUCAGAUGUGAAAUCCCCGAGCUCAACUUGGGAACUGCAUUUGAAA
Molecule: ribosomal RNA, 470 nt
Filed under: uncultured bacterium
Lineage: Bacteria
Description: bacterial SSU rRNA
Rfam family: Bacterial small subunit ribosomal RNA
Source: RNAcentral